RNAcentral lists this ribosomal RNA (847 nucleotides) under uncultured bacterium. RNAcentral's name for it is "bacterial SSU rRNA". It matches the Rfam family "Bacterial small subunit ribosomal RNA", at positions 600 to 1439 of the family's 1533-position model. The record is from RNAcentral.
UCNUCUGGCUUAACUGGGGGCUUGCGGUGGGUACGGNCCGGCUUGAGUGCGGUAGGGGAGACUGGAACUCCUGGUGUAGCGGUGGAAUGCGCAGAUAUCAGGAAGAACACCGGUGGCGAAGGCGGGUCUCUGGGCCGUUACCGACGCUGAGGAGCGAAAGCGUGGGGAGCGAACAGGAUUAGAUACCCUGGUAGUCCACGCCGUAAACGUUGGGCACUAGGUGUGGGGGGCCUUUUCCGGNUCUUCCGCGCCGUAGCUAACGCAUUAAGUGCCCCGCCUGGGGAGUACGGCCGCAAGGCUAAAACUCAAAGGAAUUGACGGGGGCCCGCACAAGCGGCGGAGCAUGCGGAUUAAUUCGAUGCAACGUGAAGAACCUUACCAAGGCUUGACAUGUGCCGGUCGGCUCCGGAGACGGGGCUUCCUCCCUGUGGGGCCGGUUCACAGGUGGUGCAUGGUUGUCGUCAGCUCGUGUCGUGAGAUGUUGGGCUAAGUCCCGCAACGAGCGCAACCCUUGUCCCGUGUUGCCAGCACGUUGUGGUGGGGACUCGCGGGAGACUGCCGGGGUCAACUCGGAGGAAGGUGGGGAUGACGUCAAAUCAUCAUGCCCCUUAUGUCUUGGGCUUCACGCAUGCUACAAUGGCCGGUACAGAGGGCUGCGAUACCGUGAGGUGGAGCGAAUCCCUUAAAGCCGGUCUCAGUUCGGAUCGGUGUCUGCAACUCGACACCGUGAAGUUGGAGUCGCUAGUAAUCGCAGAUCAGCAACGCUGCGGUGAAUACGUUCUCGGGCCUUGUACACACCGCCCGUCACGUCAUGAAAGUCGGCAACACCCGAAGCCCGUGGCCCUAC